GGAGGGUGCAAGCGUUAUCCGGAUUCACUGGGUUUAAAGGGUGCGUAGGUGGGUUGGUAAGUCAGUGGUGAAAUCUCCGAGCUUAACUUGGAAACUGCCAUUGAUACUAUCAGUCUUGAAUACCGUGGAGGUCAGCGGAAUAUGUCAUGUAGCGGUGAAAUGCUUAGAUAUGACAUAGAACACCAAUUGCGAAGGCAGCUGGCUACACGAAUAUUGACACUCAGGCACGAAAGCGUGGGGAUCAAACAGGAUUAGAUACCCUGGUAGUCCACGCCCUAAACGAUGGAUACUCGACAUACGCGAUACACUGUGUGUGUCUGAGCGAAAGCAUUAAGUAUCCCACCUGGGAAGUACGAUCGCAAGAUUGAA
RNAcentral lists this ribosomal RNA (369 nucleotides) under uncultured bacterium. Its description in RNAcentral is "bacterial SSU rRNA". It matches the Rfam family "Bacterial small subunit ribosomal RNA", at positions 527 to 898 of the family's 1533-position model. The record is from RNAcentral.